CUACGGGGUGCAGCAGUGAGGGAUAUUGCACAAUGGGGGGAACCCUGAUGCAGCAACGCCGCGUGGAGGAUGACGCAUUUCGGUGUGUAAACUCCUUUUAUAUGUCAAGAAAAUGACGGUAGCAUAUGAAUAAGCACCGGCUAACUCUGUGCCAGCAGCCGCGGUAAUACUGAGGGUGCAAGCGUUACUCGGAAUCACUGGGCGUAAAGGACGCGUAGGCGGGUUGGAAAGUCAGGUGUGAAAUCCUACAGCUUAACUGUAGAACUGCACUUGAAACUUCUAAUCUAGAGUAUGGGAGGGGGAGAUGGAAUUAGUGGUGUAGGGGUAAAAUCCGUAGAUAUCACUAGGAAUACCUAAAGCGAAGGCGAUCUCCUGGAACAUUACUGACGCUAAGGCGUGAAGGCGUGGGGAGCAAACAGGAUUAGAUACCCGCGUAGUC
This 439-nucleotide ribosomal RNA is filed under the name uncultured bacterium. RNAcentral's name for it is "partial 16S ribosomal RNA". It matches the Rfam family "Bacterial small subunit ribosomal RNA", at positions 339 to 795 of the family's 1533-position model. The record is from RNAcentral.